CAAUGUGUACAAGAAAUUAAUCUUUAGGCUGACUGAUGUCACACAAAUAAUUGAUGCAAAAAAUCUUGGGCAUAUAAUUUUUUGUGUUAGUGCCCUCUACAUGUUUGUUGUUAUGCUUCAUACAGCUGAAUCUAUUUUUUUUCAGGUUUUUUUACUGCAUACACAUGCUCAUAGACGAGCACACGUCCCUGGCGAGCAAAUGCAACCCAUGGCCGCCACGCCUAUGGGUGCAGUUGGGUGGUCAUUGUGAAAUCUGUAGAAAAGCAAUAUCCGAGCUGGAAGAAACCAAUUGGCAUGACCAGAUAGAACUUCAGACUAGGUAUUCAUGCACUGGCCGAUGGAAGCAGCAUCAGUUGAGAAGCUAGAGAACUUAUCACUUGAUAGCAUCCUUGUAAGGAGUAUCAUACGCCUCAUACAUUUUCUGAAUUUGUUAAAGAUAACAUCGUUAAAGAUAACAUCUAUCUACACUGACGAUGUUCACAAACUCAACCUCAUGAUAUCUCUGUAAACUUGAUGAGAUCCGCAUGACAGAAACUGUGUGUAGCAAAGUUUGCAUGAGCAUGUUCAAUUCGUUGGAAUUCAGGUGGCUUCCUAUUGAGGUAAUUAAGCUAAAAUAUUACAUGUUAUUUUCAUGAAAAUUUGGUCAAAUAUUUGCUCUAUUUGCAUACUAUUCUAGGACUAUCUGCUUUAUUUUCUUCCUAUAAUAAAUAAAUUUGUUAACCUGCCACCAAGA
Non-coding RNA from Lolium perenne, 733 nucleotides. The record is from RefSeq and is a predicted model, not a curated record. Lineage: Eukaryota; Viridiplantae; Streptophyta; Magnoliopsida; Poales; Poaceae.